GAGAUGGCAAGAAAUAAAGAAGCAGUCAGUGAUGGAGGCUGCAAGAGUUGUAACACUAACCAAAGGCUCUUUUUAGAGCCAUCGUUUUCCCUGGCAGGUGGUACAGCCAAGCAGACAGGCAAGUGGCCAUACUGCUGCUGCCUCAUGUGGGAUUCGGCAGGCUGGUGGGUUAUCAGUCCUCACGUGGGACCCUCCCACCAUGGCAGCUGAGCGCAUCCAAGCUGGGGGAUCCUGAAGAGACCUUCACCUGGGUGCCAUGUGGAAGAUUGGUCAGCACCAUUUUGACUCCUGUGGAUGGUUCCAGGUAAAGACAAUCCUUGCACAAGGCUUCCAACUCGACCCGUCUACUGACCUGGAGAAUGAAAGUGUCCUGCCUCUGGGCCCCUCAGAUCAACAUCUGCUCCUGCCCCAGCCUCAGCGACGCCUGUCUCUUUGGCCGCUGUGCUCACACCCAAACUGCACCUGGUCACCUGUCUACAUUCAGAUUUGGAUGAAACCCACACCAUGGAGGCAGCCAGAAGCCCAUGGGAGAUGUCUGGAUGCACAGAGGAAUAGCUCCAUGUGAUGCAAACCUUGACUAAUGGGAACAGGAAAAGGGAGGAAACCAGGAAGAUAAAUUUGCCUCCCUUCUCAUUGCCCCUUGCAACUCUUCCCACUUGAAGCAUGACCACAUUUAAUGAACAACCUGCUGUGUCUCUUGGAAGCUUGCUGCAAAGCAGCAAUCAGCACAAUAACAUUGUAUUGUAUCUUCCUCUGCUUCACUUCUCUUCCUCCCUCACCCUCACUGCCCUGAGCUGGCACAUCCCAAAGAAAGCACUACCACAUUAAUCCUUGUCUCAGACUCUGCUUUCAAGAGGAUCCAGAAUCUUGCUCUGUUGCCCUGGCUAGAGUGCAGUGAUAUAAUCAUAGCUCACUGAAACCUCGAACUCCUGGGCU
This 936-nucleotide long non-coding RNA is filed under the name Pongo abelii (Sumatran orangutan). RNAcentral's name for it is "lincRNA". The stretch from base 60 to 103 matches the Rfam family "Histone 3' UTR stem-loop". The record is from RNAcentral. Lineage: Eukaryota; Metazoa; Chordata; Mammalia; Primates; Hominidae.